UGCAAGUCGUGGGGCAGCAGGUUUGUAGCAAUACAGAUGCUGGCGACCGGCAAACGGGUGCGGAACACGUACAGAACCUUCCUUCGAGCGGGGAAUAGCCCAGAGAAAUUUGGAUUAAUACCCCAUAGCAUAUUGAAGAGGCAUCUCUUUAAUAUUAAAGAUUUAUCACUUGAAGAUGGCUGUGCGGCUGAUUAGAUAGUUGGCGGGGUAACGGCCCACCAAGUCUACGAUCAGUAACUGGUGUGAGAGCACGACCAGUCACACGGGCACUGAGACACGGGCCCGACUCCUACGGGAGGCAGCAGUAAGGAAUAUUGGUCAAUGGACGCAAGUCUGAACCAGCCAUGCCGCGUGAAGGAUGAAGGCCCUCUGGGUUGUAAACUUCUUUUAUCUGGGACGAAAAAGGGACUUUCUAGUUCAACUGACGGUACCAGAGGAAUAAGCACCGGCUAACUCCGUGCCAGCAGCCGCGGUAAUACGGAGGGUGCAAGCGUUAUCCGGAUUCACUGGGUUUAAAGGGUGCGUAGGUGGGUUGGUAAGUCAGUGGUGAAAUCCCCGAGCUUAACUUGGGAACUGCCAUUGAUACUAUCAGUCUUGAAUACUGUGGAGGCUAGCGGAAUAUGUCAUGUAGCGGUGAAAUGCUUAGAUAUGACAUAGAACACCAAUUGCGAAGGCAGCUGGCUACACAAAUAUUGACACUGAGGUACGAAAGCGUGGGGAUCAAACAGGAUUAGAUACCCUGGUAGUCCACGCCCUAAACGAUGGAUACUCGACAUUUGCGAUACACAGCAAGUGUCUGAGCGAAAGCAUUAAGUAUCCCACCUGGGAAGUACGAUCGCAAGAUUGAAACUCAGAAUUGGCGGGGGUCCGCACAAGCGG
This 879-nucleotide ribosomal RNA is filed under the name uncultured Flavobacteriaceae bacterium. Its description in RNAcentral is "bacterial SSU rRNA". It matches the Rfam family "Bacterial small subunit ribosomal RNA", at positions 56 to 932 of the family's 1533-position model. The record is from RNAcentral. Lineage: Bacteria; Pseudomonadati; Bacteroidota; Flavobacteriia; Flavobacteriales; Flavobacteriaceae.